CAGCCCGGCGUGGUGCCUCGCUCUGAAGUGCACCUGUUGGCUACGCUGGUUUCUGAGCCACUCAGAGGAAGAUAUCGGAAGGUAAAAGUGCAUCUCCUGGUUGUGCCCUUAGGCAUCUAUCGAGCUGUGCCUAUUCGAGUCAAUCCAAGAGUGAGUAAUGUGAAGUCUGUCUACAAAACCCACAUUGAUGUCAUUCAUUAUCGGAAAACGGAUGCGAAACGUCUGCAUGGCCUUGAUGAAGAAGCAGAACAGAAACUUUUUUCAGAGAAACGUGUGGAAUUGCUUAAGGAACUUUCCAGGAAACCAGACAUUUAUGAGAGGCUUGCUUCAGCCUUGGCUCCAAGCAUUUAUGAACAUGAAGAUAUAAAGAAGGGAAUUUUGCUUCAGCUCUUUGGCGGGACAAGGAAGGAUUUUAGUCACACUGGAAGGGGCAAAUUUCGGGCUGAGAUCAACAUCUUGCUGUGUGGCGACCCUGGUACCAGCAAGUCCCAGCUGCUGCAGUACGUGUACAACCUCGUCCCCAGGGGCCAGUACACGUCUGGGAAGGGCUCCAGUGCAGUUGGCCUCACUGCGUAUGUAAUGAAAGACCCUGAGACAAGGCAGCUGGUCCUGCAGACAGGUGCUCUUGUCCUGAGUGACAACGGCAUCUGCUGUAUCGAUGAGUUCGACAAGAUGAAUGAAAGUACAAGAUCGGUAUUGCAUGAAGUCAUGGAACAGCAGACUCUGUCCAUUGCAAAGGCUGGGAUCAUCUGUCAGCUCAAUGCGCGCACCUCUGUCCUGGCAGCAGCAAAUCCCAUUGAGUCUCAGUGGAAUCCUAAAAAAACAACCAUUGAAAACAUCCA
This 842-nucleotide small RNA is filed under the name Pongo abelii (Sumatran orangutan). RNAcentral's name for it is "retained intron". Lineage: Eukaryota; Metazoa; Chordata; Mammalia; Primates; Hominidae. The record is from RNAcentral.